RNAcentral lists this long non-coding RNA (1056 nucleotides) under Physcomitrium patens. RNAcentral describes it as "long non-coding RNA (PPAT_LNC001436)". Lineage: Eukaryota; Viridiplantae; Streptophyta; Bryopsida; Funariales; Funariaceae. The record is from RNAcentral.
AUCCUAAAAAAAGCCUAAUUAAAUCCUAACCAAAUCUUGAACAAAUCCUAGUCAAAUCCUAAACAAAUCCUAAUUAAAUUCUAAACAAAUCCUAACUAAAUCCUAAACAAAUCCUAAAUAAAUCCUAACCAAAUUGUAAGCAAAUCCUAAUCAAAUCCUAAACAAACAUUAACUAAAUCCUAGUCAAAUCUUAACCGAAUCUUAAACAAAUCCUAAACAAAACCUUAACUAAAUCCUAGUCAAAUCCUAACCAAAUUUUAAACAAAUCCUAAACAAAACCUUAACUAAAUCCUAGUCAAAUCCUAACUGAAUCUUAACCAAAUCCUAAACAAAACCUAAAUAAACCUUAACCAUAUCCUAAUAGAUCCCUAAAAGUUUUCUAACCAAAUCCUAAAUAAUCCCAAGUAAUUCUUAUAGCAGAUUUAAACCUUAAUAUAUAAUGAAUGAACCAUUGAUUUUAACUCAAAAUUUGCAUACGUCUUAAAAAUUAAGUUGAAAACAAGCACAAAUUUUUUGAGGAAGAUCAAACUCACAAAAAGAAGAUCAACCCAAAUAUUUGCUUGGAUGUUGGCCAACCUCAUUCUCUAAUCUGAAUGUUGAAUUUCUAGUGCCAAUAUCUCCUUAUUAAACCAUUUAAUUGAUCUUAAAUUUCUCUCAUAUAUAAAAAAAUAAAUCUACUACCUGCAUACAUAAUUUUCACUCCAAUCCAAUUAAUAGAUUGUAAAAAAUCUUAAAAACUCUCACUUAAUCUAAAACUCUACUUUUUGAGAUCCUAACCCACUUAAACCUCAAUAAUCCUCGAUCCAAUCCUUGAAUCAAGCUCAAAUUCACAGCAUAUAUUAAACACAUAUAAACCCACAAAUCUUUAAAAUUUCACCCAUGGAUCUAUUGCCAAACUUACGAAAUCUUUAAAAGAUAUCUCCCUUUUUAUUUCACAAAUCCAGAGUCAUGUAAAACAAACCUUGACUUUGCAAAGCUCUUGCAAAGUCAAUACAAAUCCAAAUCAUCUCAAAUUAAUGCCUAUCAAAACUCUAUCAAUUUUUUUCUCUAAAUCCA